UUGAUAUUCCAGUACCACCAUGUUCGCGACCGUUCCAAUACUUUGUUGCUAAGGGGCUGUGUUGACUUCGGUCAACACGAACCGACCCACAUUGUUGCGGAAAGCUAUAGGGGGACGCAGGAAGGUAGAUGAACCCGGUGAAUGGUAGAACCGGGGUAAGCGUGUAGGAGGAGGACCAGGCAAAUCCGGGCCUCACAUACUCUGAGACGUGAUACCGAGCCGCUUCAGGCGAAGUCAUUAAUCCUAUGCUGCCUAGAAAAGCCCAGUAGCGAGUUGACAUGGUGCCCGUACCCCAAACCAACACAGGUGGACAGGUAGAGCAUACCAAGGCGAGUGGGAUAACCAUGGUUAAGGAACUCGGCAAAUUUCCUCCGUAACUUCGGGAUAAGGAGGACCCCAGUAGCGUGACGAGACUUGCUCUCUGAGCGUGAAGGGGUGGCACAAAAUUGAGGGAAGCGACUGUUUACCAAAAACACAGCAGCGUGCUAAGCCGUAAGGCGCUGUAUACGCUGUGACUCCUGCCCGGUGCUGGAAGGUUACGGGGAUGGGUUAGUCCUUCGGGACGAAGCUCUGAACCUAAGCCCCAGUAAACGGCGGCCGUAACUAUAACGGUCCUAAGGUAGCGAAAUUCCUUGUCGGGUAAGUUCCGACCUGCACGAAUGGAGUAACGACUUCCCUACUGUCUCAACCAUAGACCCAGCGAAAUUGAAGUACGAGUAAAGAUGCUCGUUAGCUGCAGAAGGACGGAAAGACCCCGCGGACCUUUACUAUAACUUGAUGAUGUGUUUUGUCAUAUGUUGUGUAGGAUAGGUGGGAGACAAGGAAGCAUGGACGCUAGUCUGUGUGGAGUCAUCGUUGAAAUACCACCCUGCAUAUGGUGAGGCUCUAACCUAGACCCGUUAUCCGGGUUGGGGACAGCGUCAGGCGGGUAGUUUAACUGGGGCGGUUGCCUCCUAAAGAGUAACGGAGGCGCCCAAAGGUUCCCUCAGCCUGGUUGGCAACCAGGCGUCGAGUGCAAUGGCAAAAGGGAGCUUGACUGCGAGACCUACAAGUCGAGCAGGAGCGAAAGCUGGGCAUAGUGAUCCGGCGGUUGCGUGUGGAAGCGCCGUCGCUCAACGGAUAAAAGGUACCCCGGGGAUAACAGGCUAAUCUUGCCCAAGCGUCCAUAGCGACGGCAAGGUUUGGCACCUCGAUGUCGGCUCAUCGCAUCCUGGGGCUGAAGCAGGUCCCAAGGGUUGGGCUGUUCGCCCAUUAAAGCGGUACGCGAGCUGGGUUCAGAACGUCGUGAGACAGUUCGGUCCCUAUCCUCUGUAGCCGUAGGUGAAUUGAGGAAAGCUGUCCCUAGUACGAGAGGACCGGGACGGACGCAGCUCUCGUGUGCCAGUUGUCCUGCCAAGGGCAUGGCUGGUUAGCGACCUGCGGAAAGGAUAACCGCUGAAAGCAUCUAAGCGGGAAGCCUCUUCCGAGAUGAAUUCACCCACAGGGUUAACCUGGUAAGGCCCGUGGUAGACCACCACGUUGAUAGGCCGGAAGUGUAAGCGUGGCAACACGUUCAGCUGACCGGUACUAAUCGG
This 1574-nucleotide ribosomal RNA is filed under the name metagenome. RNAcentral's name for it is "bacterial LSU rRNA". It matches the Rfam family "Bacterial large subunit ribosomal RNA", at positions 1392 to 2908 of the family's 2925-position model. The record is from RNAcentral.